CCGGGGUUGGCAGAGUGGUCAAUUGCACCUGACUGUAAAUCAGGCGCCCUCAGGGCUACGGAGGUUCGAAUCCUUCACCCCGGA
Molecule: transfer RNA, 84 nt
Filed under: Candidatus Dojkabacteria bacterium
Lineage: Bacteria
Description: tRNA-Tyr
Rfam family: tRNA
About the family: Transfer RNA (tRNA) molecules are approximately 80 nucleotides in length.
Source: RNAcentral